AUUGAACGCUGGCGGCAGGCCUAACACAUGCAAGUCGAGCGGAUGAAGGGAGCUUGCUCCUGGAUUCAGCGGCGGACGGGUGAGUAAUGCCUAGGAAUCUGCCUGGUAGUGGGGGAUAACGUCCGGAAACGGGCGCUAAUACCGCAUACGUCCUGAGGGAGAAAGUGGGGGAUCUUCGGACCUCACGCUAUCAGAUGAGCCUAGGUCGGAUUAGCUAGUUGGUGGGGUAAAGGCCUACCAAGGCGACGAUCCGUAACUGGUCUGAGAGGAUGAUCAGUCACACUGGAACUGGAACAGGGUCCAGACUCCUACGGGAGGCAGCAGUGGGGAAUAUUGGACAAUGGGCGAAAGCCUGAUCCAGCCAUGCCGCGUGUGUGAAGAAGGUCUUCGGAUUGUAAAGCACUUUAAGUUGGGAGGAAGGGCAGUAAGUUAAUACCUUGCUGUUUUGACGUUACCAACAGAAUAAGCACCGGCUAACUUCGUG
Molecule: ribosomal RNA, 484 nt
Filed under: uncultured bacterium
Lineage: Bacteria
Description: partial 16S ribosomal RNA
Rfam family: Bacterial small subunit ribosomal RNA
Source: RNAcentral